Molecule: ribosomal RNA, 431 nt
Filed under: uncultured Paracoccaceae bacterium
Lineage: Bacteria; Pseudomonadati; Pseudomonadota; Alphaproteobacteria; Rhodobacterales; Paracoccaceae
Description: bacterial SSU rRNA
Rfam family: Bacterial small subunit ribosomal RNA
Source: RNAcentral
AACGAACGCUGGCGGCAUGCCUAACACAUGCAAGUCGAACGGACUCUUCGGAGUUAGUGGCGCACGGGUGAGGAACACGUGGGAACAUACCCUUUGGUAGGGAAUAAUGUCUGGAAACGGGCACUAAUACCCUAUAAUGACUACGGUCCAAAGAUUUAUCGCCAAAGGAUUGGCCCGCGCAUGAUUAGAUAGUUGGUAAGGUAACGGCUUACCAAGUCUACGAUCAUUAGCUGGUCUGAGAGGAUGAUCAGCCACACUGGGACUGAGACACGGCCCAAACUCCUACGGGAGGCAGCAGUGGGGAAUCUUGCACAAUGGAGGAAACUCUGAUGCAGCGAUGCCGCGUGAGUGAAGAAGGCCUUUGGGUUGUAAAGCUCUUUCGCCUGUGAUGAUAAUGACAGUAGCAGGUAAAGAAACCCCGGCUAACUCCG